AAGAUUAAACCAUUUAGUAUUUUAAAAAGUUAAAAUACAUCCUUAUACUAUAUAAAAUAAGGAUGAGCAUAACCAGAUACCUGCCUAUUUUAGCUGGAACCGGAACCGCUCCCGUAACCGGCGGUUCAUAAGUUAUUGGAACCGGAACCGCAUACACCGGUUCCUAGAAAAUCGUACUCCCGGAACCAUCGGAACCGGUUCCUGUUCCGGGUACCCAGUUUCUUAAAUAUAAAAAUUUUUAAUUAUAAAUUAUAGAUUACAUGGCAUGGAUAUUAACGUUUACAAACAUCCGAAUUAGAAAUGUUAUGAAUAUAAAACAAUUAUAAAAACUUGAUCUUUUACAUAACCACCUAUUAAACUUUAAAAACACUUCUCACAAUUAAAAAACGUCAUAGAAAACAAUUGCCAUCAAGUGAAAUUUAAUAAGUAGAGAUGACAAAAAUGACAAAUUACGAACAAUAAACAUAAAACAACCACAUGAAAACAACACAUCAAAAACAUCAUAGCCUUGAAUUGGAUUCAUUGAUCUUGUCGACUCAUCUGUCGAGAACAGUAUACUGCAUGGAUAUAACAUAAGAUUUAGUAUGUGAUUGUUAAGAUUCCUGUAAAGGUAAAUAGAAGAACACCAUCAGAAGUUAACGAAUAUAACAUUAGAUUUAUCAAUCAGAUACUAAUAUAAACCCUCAAAAAUGCUUGACUAUUUGUUAGUUAAAUCAAUUCAAACUGAACGAAUAUAAGAUUAGAUUUAGUAUGUGAUUCACAAAUCAUUUUGUUGAGAUUACAAUAUCUCAUAGAUUGGAACAUUGGAACGGUUCAUUUGAAAAGUAAAAAAAAAUAUAGAAAUUGGAUAUUCUGACAUGACUUCUUGGAUGAAAAGAUAAACUAAUGUUAGAUUUAAUACAAAAAUCAAUUGCCAAUUUGACAUACCAUCACUAGUGAGACACUAGAAUCUGUCCACUAGAAAACAGAUAACAAACCAAUUCAUAAACCAAAUAAUUUAAAGAUUAACAUCAUAUUAACGAACCUGCUGUAUCUUCAUUCUAGGUACACGCAUAUGCCUAGUUAACUUUUAAUAAGCCGCCCAAACAUGUAAUUAUAAGUUGUCAAAGCCAAUUUGUAAUGACUGAUAACAAGAAUAGAAUAUAUUUUUAUAAUGACUAAUAAAAAUAAUAGAACAUAAAGUAUAAUCGAGGUUUUGUAUGUACAAAUACCUUCCAUUAAGUGUCAUAAUAGCAAGACAACGAAACACCAAUCAAAGCAAACCGCAAAGGCACAAACCCAUAUGAUGACUGAAAUCAAAAAAAUAGUCAACCAUCCAAAAUCAAGUAAAGAUGAGUAUAUAUUUAACUAAUAUCUAAAUAUCAAUAUGUAUCUCACCAAGUAACCUACUGGUCUGUUGGUGUUCCAAGCAACCUGCAUAAUGUCAUCCUUGAGAGUGCACCUGCACCUGCUCUUGGAUCGAUUCACCUGCUAACCAGUUUCAUCAUCAUGCAUUGGAGACUUGGAUAAUCAACCGUAUGUUAAUUCGGUAGAUCCUGCAUACAUCAAACAUAUUUAAUUUGUGAUUAAGAGUGAAUCAAGAUUCACAGAUGGAAAUAAAAAAAAAUUAACAGAUGGAAAUCAAGAUUCAGCCUAAAGACUCGACAAAUUAACAAAAAGAUCAAAACUAACAGUUUAAUAAUCUAAUCGAGAUUCAUAGAUGGAGGUUGAACAACCUAAGAAAUCGAUAAUCGAGAUAUCCAAUUUCACAGUCAACAGAUACAAUCAUAUUUUAGAGUUAUGAUUGAGAAUCUAACCUUGAAGAUGAGAGAGACGAGGAAGACGAGGGAGAGCAUAAAUAUGGAUGAUCAGAGCGAUAUGGUCCACCUUGAAGUGUCGACUGAAGUGUCGAUUGAGAGACAUAGAGACGAGGGAGACAAGUGAAUUUCAAUUUCUGGAACAGAUUGAUGUGCCGACUGAAGCUUCGAUUGAAGCUUGGAGAUUGAAGUGCAAACUGAACCUUCGAUUGAAGCUUGGAUUGAACAGAAUGAUGACUGGAGUCUGGAGCGAUUGAAGCUUCGAUUAACUAAAGGAUGGGUUUGAGAGGGGAGAGAGGAGAGUGACGAGAAGAGAAGACGACGUUUUUUUUGGAAUGAAAAUCAUAAACCCUAAAAACGAAUCAGGUCUAAGGUAAUCGGUAUAAGUUC
This 2186-nucleotide long non-coding RNA is filed under the name Lactuca sativa (garden lettuce). RNAcentral describes it as "long non-coding RNA (LSAT_LNC005332)". Lineage: Eukaryota; Viridiplantae; Streptophyta; Magnoliopsida; Asterales; Asteraceae. The record is from RNAcentral.